This 460-nucleotide ribosomal RNA is filed under the name uncultured bacterium. Its description in RNAcentral is "partial 16S ribosomal RNA". It matches the Rfam family "Bacterial small subunit ribosomal RNA", at positions 338 to 795 of the family's 1533-position model. The record is from RNAcentral.
CCUACGUGUGGCUGCAGUGAGGAAUAUUGGUCAAUGGGCGCUAGCCUGAACCAGCCAAGUCGCGUGAAGGAUGACUGCCCUAUUGGUUGUAAACUUCUUUUAUAUGGGAGUAAAGUGCAGUAUGUAUACUGCUUUGCAUGUACCUUAUGAAUAAGCAUCGGCUAACUCCGUGCAAGCAGCCGCGGUAAUACGGAGGAUCCGAGCGUUAUCCGGAUUUAUUGGGUUUAAAGGGAGCGGAGGCGGGUUGUUAAGUCAGUUGUUAAAGUUUGCGGCUCAACCGUAAAAUUGCAGUGGAUACUGGUAUCCCUGAGUACAUGAGAGGGAGGCGGAAUUCGUGGUGUAGCGGUGAAAUGCUUAGAUAUCACGAAGAACUCCGAUUGCGAAGGCAGCCUGCUGGACUGUAACUGACGCUGAUGCUCGAAAGUGGGGGUAUCAAACAGGAUUAGAUACCCCGGUAGUC